This 478-nucleotide ribosomal RNA is filed under the name uncultured bacterium. RNAcentral's name for it is "partial 16S ribosomal RNA". It matches the Rfam family "Bacterial small subunit ribosomal RNA", at positions 28 to 507 of the family's 1533-position model. The record is from RNAcentral.
GAUGAACGCUGGCGGCGUGCUUAACACAUGCAAGUCGAACGGGAAACCUUUUAAUGAAGCUUAGGCAGAUUUAGCUGGUUUCUAGUGGCGGACGGGUGAGUAACGCGUGGGUAACCUGCCUUAUACAGGGGGAUAACAGUCAGAAAUGACUGCUAAUACCGCAUAAGCGCACAGGACCGCAUGGUCCGGUGGGAAAAACUCCGGUGGUAUAAGAUGGACCCGCGUUGGAUUAGCGUGGUGGUGGGGUAACGGCUCACCAAGGCGACGAUCCAUAGCCGGCCUGAGAGGGUGACCGGCCACAUUGGGACUGAGACACGGCCCAGACUCCUACGGGAGGCAGCAGUGGGGAAUAUUGCACAAUGGGGGAAACCCUGAUGCAGCGACGCCGCGUGAAGGAAGAAGUAUCUCGGUAUGUAAACUUCUAUCAGCAGGGAAGAUAGUGACGGUACCUGACUAAGAAGCCCCGGCUAACUACGUG